RNAcentral lists this transfer RNA (64 nucleotides) under Bactrocera bryoniae. RNAcentral describes it as "tRNA-Cys". The record is from RNAcentral. Lineage: Eukaryota; Metazoa; Arthropoda; Insecta; Diptera; Tephritidae.
GGCUUUAUAGUCAACAAUGACGUUAGACUGCAAUUCUAAAGGAGUAAUAAAAUUACUAAGGCUU